AGUGAACGCUGGCGGCGUGCUUAACACAUGCAAGUCGAACGAGAACGGAAUAUAGCUUGCUAUAUUUGUCAGCUAAGUGGCGCACGGGUGAGUAAUGUAUAGAUAACCUGCCCUUAAGAAAGGAAUAACAGUUGGAAACGACUGCUAAUGCCCUAUAUGCCUUUAAUACACAAGUAUGCAAGGGAAACGCUUUAGUGCUUAAGGAUGGGUCUGUAUGGUAUCAGCUUGUUGGUGAGGUAAUGGCUCACCAAGGCUAUGACGCCUAACUGGUUUGAGAGGAUGAUCAGUCACACUGGAACUGAGACACGGUCCAGACUCCUACGGGAGGCGGCAGUGGGGAAUAUUGCACAAUGGACGAAAGUCUGAUGCAGCAACGCCGCGUGGAGGAUGACACAUUUCCGUGCGUAAACUCCUUUUAUAUAGGAAGAUAAUGACGGUACUAUAUGAAUAAGCACCGGCUAACUCCGUGCCAGCAGCCGCUGUAA
This 485-nucleotide ribosomal RNA is filed under the name uncultured bacterium. RNAcentral's name for it is "partial 16S ribosomal RNA". It matches the Rfam family "Bacterial small subunit ribosomal RNA", at positions 29 to 523 of the family's 1533-position model. The record is from RNAcentral.